GGAUUAGAUACCCUGGUAGUCCACGCCGUAAACGAUGUCAACUAGCCGUUGGAGAUCUUAGUAUCUUUAGUGGCGUAGCUAACGCGCUAAGUUGACCGCCUGGGGAGUACGGUCGCAAGAUUAAAACUCAAAUGAAUUGACGGGGGCCCGCACAAGCGGUGGAGCAUGUGGUUUAAUUCGACGCAACGCGAAGAACCUUACCUGGUCUUGACAUCCUCAGAACUUUCCAGAGAUGGAUUGGUGCCUUCGGGAACUGAGUGACAGGUGCUGCAUGGCUGUCGUCAGCUCGUGCCG
This 294-nucleotide ribosomal RNA is filed under the name uncultured bacterium. RNAcentral describes it as "partial 16S ribosomal RNA". It matches the Rfam family "Bacterial small subunit ribosomal RNA", at positions 775 to 1067 of the family's 1533-position model. The record is from RNAcentral.